AGCGAACGCUGGCGGCAGGCUUAACACAUGCAAGUCGAACGGUCCUUCGGGAUAGUGGCGGACGGGUGAGUAACACGUGGGAACGUACCCUUAGGUUCGGAACAACACAGGGAAACUUGUUCUAAUACCGGAUAAGCCCUUCGGUGGAAAGAUUUAUCGCCUUUGGAGCGGCCCGCGUCUGAUUAGCUUGUUGGUGAGGUAAUGGCUCACCAAGGCUACGAUCAGUAGCUGGUCUGAGAGGAGGGCCAGCCACACUGGGACUGAGACACGGCCCAGACUCCUACGGGAGGCAGCAGUGGGGAAUCUUGCGCAAUGGGCGAAAGCCUGACGCAGCCAUGCCGCGUGGAUGAUGAAGGUCUUAGGAUUGUAAAAUCCUUUCACCGGGGACGAUAAUGACGGUACCCGGAGAAGAAGCCCCGGCUAACUUCGUGCAGCAGCCGCAGUAA
RNAcentral lists this ribosomal RNA (446 nucleotides) under uncultured bacterium. RNAcentral's name for it is "partial 16S ribosomal RNA". It matches the Rfam family "Bacterial small subunit ribosomal RNA", at positions 29 to 523 of the family's 1533-position model. The record is from RNAcentral.